This 548-nucleotide ribosomal RNA is filed under the name uncultured bacterium. RNAcentral's name for it is "partial 16S ribosomal RNA". It matches the Rfam family "Bacterial small subunit ribosomal RNA", at positions 355 to 887 of the family's 1533-position model. The record is from RNAcentral.
UGGGGAAUAUUGCACAAUGGGCGCAAGCCUGAUGCAGCCAUGCCGCGUGUGUGAAGAAGGCCUUCGGGUUGUAAAGCACUUUCAGCGAGGAGGAAGGUGGUGAGCUUAAUACACUCAUCAAUUGACGUUACUCGCAGAAGAAGCACCGGCUAACUCCGUGCCAGCAGCCGCGGUAAUACGGAGGGUGCAAGCGUUAAUCGGAAUUACUGGGCGUAAAAGCGCACGCAGGCGGUUUGUUAAGUCAGAUGUGAAAUCCCCGGGCUCAACCUGGGAACUGCAUUUGAAAACUGGCAAGCUAGAGUCUCGUAGAGGGGGGUAGAAAUUCCAGGUGUAGCGGUGAAAAUGCGUAGAGAUCUGGAGGAAUACCGGUGGCGAAGGCGGCCCCCUGGACGAAGACUGACGCUCAGGUGCGAAAAGCGUGGGGAGCAAAACAGGAUUAGAUACCCUGGUAGUCCACGCUGUAAAACGAUGUCGAUUUUGGAGGUUGUGCCCUUGAGGCGUGGCUUCCGGAGCUAACGCGUUAAAUCGACCGCCUGGGGAGUACGGCC